GCUGGCGGCGUGCUUAACACAUGCAAGUCGAACGAACCUUCGGGUUAGUGGCGGACGGGUGAGUAACGCGUGGGAAUCUGCCCUCAGGAGGGGGAUAACGGUUGGAAACGACCGCUAAUACCCCAUAUGCCGAGAGGUGAAAUGAAUUUCGCCUGAGGAUGAGCCCGCGUCUGAUUAGCUUGUUGGUGAGGUAAUGGCUCACCAAGGCAUCGAUCAGUAGCUGGUCUGAGAGGAUGAUCAGCCACACUGGGACUGAGACACGGCCCAGACUCCUACGGGAGGCAGCAGUGGGGAAUUUUCCGCAAUGGGCGAAAGCCUGACGGAGCAACGCCGCGUGAGGGACGAAGGCCUCUGGGCUGUAAACCUCUUUUCUCAAGGAAGAAGAUAUGACGGUACUUG
RNAcentral lists this ribosomal RNA (399 nucleotides) under uncultured cyanobacterium. RNAcentral's name for it is "bacterial SSU rRNA". It matches the Rfam family "Bacterial small subunit ribosomal RNA", at positions 35 to 481 of the family's 1533-position model. The record is from RNAcentral. Lineage: Bacteria; Bacillati; Cyanobacteriota.